Molecule: non-coding RNA, 485 nt
Organism: Tachysurus vachellii
Lineage: Eukaryota; Metazoa; Chordata; Actinopteri; Siluriformes; Bagridae
Source: the annotation of a RefSeq genome assembly
GAUCCUCAAUAGGAUGUGUUUGCAGCCAUCGGUGGUCCUCAGCUCUUAGUGCCUCUCUUGUCAUUACUAACCAGCAUGAUCAUUGUUAUAAUCAGUCUGCAUUUCCUGCUCUACUGGACUUCAGUUUUAGCAGAAGAUAAUGGAGUCACUCAAAUCCCCAGUGUCGCCUGGAAUCUAAAAGGAGAAUCUGCUGAAAUGAAGUGCAGUCAUAAUAAAGAUGCUGGCUAUUAUCAGAUGUACUGGUUCAGACAGCGCCAAGGACAGAGUAUGGAGCUCAUCGUGUACAUAACAACCAGUAAUCAACCAGAUUUUGGCUCUGUGGAUAAAAAUAAAUUUUCUGCUAUUAAAAAAAUAGCUGCAAAUGGAUCUUUAACUGUGAAGGAUCUGGAUACAGAGGACAGCGCUGUAUAUUUCUGUGCAGUAAGUGAGCACAGUGUUACAGAGUUACUGCACUGCUGAACAAAAACACCUGCACUGAUGUUACU